RNAcentral lists this ribosomal RNA (481 nucleotides) under uncultured bacterium. RNAcentral describes it as "partial 16S ribosomal RNA". It matches the Rfam family "Bacterial small subunit ribosomal RNA", at positions 28 to 507 of the family's 1533-position model. The record is from RNAcentral.
GAUGAACGCUGGCGGCGUGCUUAACACAUGCAAGUCGAACGAAGCACUUUAUUUGAUUUCCUUCGGGACUGAUUAUUUUGUGACUGAGUGGCGGACGGGUGAGUAACGCGUGGGUAACCUGCCUUGUACAGGGGGAUAACAGUUGGAAACGGCUGCUAAUACCGCAUAAGCGCCCAGCAUCGCAUGAUGCAGUGUGAAAAACUCCGGUGGUAUAAGAUGGACCCGCGUUGGAUUAGCUAGUGGGUGAGGUGACGGCCAACCAAGGCGACGAUCCAUAUCCGACUGCACAGGGUGACCGGCCUCAUCAGGAAGUGCACACGGCCCAUAACCCUGCUGGAUGCAGCCGUGGCGCCGAUUAAACAAUGGUCGAAGGCCAACUGCAGCGACGCCGUGUGAGUGAAGCAGUGAUUAGGUAUGGAAAGCUCUAUUAGCAGGGCAGAUAAUGACGGUACCUUACUAAGAAGCACCGGCUAAAUACGUG